GGACUCUUAGCUCAGUUGGUAGAGCGACCCCUUGACGUGGGGUAGGUCAGAGGUUCAAGUCCUCUAGAGUCCACCA
RNAcentral lists this transfer RNA (76 nucleotides) under Candidatus Daviesbacteria bacterium RIFCSPHIGHO2_02_FULL_39_12. RNAcentral's name for it is "tRNA-Val". It matches the Rfam family "tRNA". Rfam says of the family: Transfer RNA (tRNA) molecules are approximately 80 nucleotides in length. Their secondary structure includes four short double-helical elements and three loops (D, anti-codon, and T loops). Lineage: Bacteria; Candidatus Daviesiibacteriota. The record is from RNAcentral. RNAcentral also lists the same sequence under 1 other name.